This 433-nucleotide ribosomal RNA is filed under the name uncultured bacterium. RNAcentral's name for it is "partial 16S ribosomal RNA". It matches the Rfam family "Bacterial small subunit ribosomal RNA", at positions 29 to 507 of the family's 1533-position model. The record is from RNAcentral.
AACGAACGCUGGCGGCAUGCCUAACACAUGCGAGUCGAACGAAACCUUCGGGCCUGGUGGCGCACGGGGGCGUAACGCGGGGGAACCUGCCCAUAGGUUCGGAAUAACUCCCCGAAAGGGGUGCGAAUACCGGAGAAUGUCUUCCGACCAACGGUUUAUCGCCUUUGGAUGGGCCCGCGUUGGAUUAGCUAGUGGGUAGGGUAAACGCCUACCAAGGGGACGAUGCAUAGCUGGUAUGAGAGGCUGAGCCGCGACACUGGGGCUGAGCCACGGUCCAGAAUCCUGCGCGAGGCGGCAGUGGCUAAUCUUGGCAUGUGGGCUGAAUCAUGAUCCAGCACUGCCGCGUGAGUGAUGAAGGCCUUAGGGUUGUAAAGCUCUUUUACCCGGGAUGAUAAUGACAGUACCGGGAGAAUAAGCUCCGGCUAACUCCGUG